RNAcentral lists this ribosomal RNA (254 nucleotides) under uncultured bacterium. RNAcentral describes it as "partial 16S ribosomal RNA". It matches the Rfam family "Bacterial small subunit ribosomal RNA", at positions 524 to 776 of the family's 1533-position model. The record is from RNAcentral.
UACGUAGGGGGCGAGCGUUGUCCGGAAUUAUUGGGCGUAAAGAGCUCGUAGGCGGCUUAGUAAGUCGGCGGUGAAAUACCGAGGCUCAACCUCGGCACUGCCGUCGAUACUGCUAUGGCUAGAGUCUGGUAGAGGAGAACGGAAUUCCCGGUGUAGCGGUGGAAUGCGCAGAUAUCGGGAGGAACACCCGUAGCGAAGGCGGUUCUCUGGGCCAGUACUGACACUGAGGAGCGAAAGCGUGGGGAGCGAACAGG